Molecule: ribosomal RNA, 229 nt
Filed under: uncultured bacterium
Lineage: Bacteria
Description: partial 16S ribosomal RNA
Rfam family: Bacterial small subunit ribosomal RNA
Source: RNAcentral
CGGGGUGAGUAAUGUAUAGGAACUUGCCUAGUAGUGGGGGAUAACGUGUGGAAACGCACGCUAAUACCGCAUACGCUCUACGGAGGAAAGCGGGGGAUCUUCGGACCUCGUGCUACUAGAUGGGCCUAUAUCAGAUUAGCUAGUUGGUAAGGUAAUGGCUUACCAAGGCGACGAUCUGUAGCUGGUUUGAGAGAAUGAUCAGCCACACUGGGACUGAGACACGGCCCAG